CUGUUUAAGAUAAUAUACUACCAAAAUCAUUCUUAACUACGUCAUUAACAGUAAUUAACAAGAGCCACUCUCCUCCGUCCGAUUGCCCAGGUACGUACAAAUACGCAUGCACCAACAUUUUAAUUCAAUAAUAUAAUUCAUUCUUAACCAAUUACCACAAUUAAUUAAUAACUUAAUUCCGUGAGUUUAAUUUCAUGCAGAGCAGGGGAAAACACGGUGCGGAUGAUGAUGAGGCGCCAUCUGAGCGGUGGGCUUCCGAGGAAGUUGAGGAACAUGAACUCAACUUCGACGACGGGUGGGCGGCGGGGCAGCGGCCGGAGGAGGAGUAGCAGUAGCGUUAGCCAUCACGACGAUGAAUCUGCGGCGGCGCCGGCGGCAUACGCUAUGUGGGUGCCGGAUCCUCGAACGGGGAUAUACUUUCCGAGAGGGCAGGAAUGGGUGAUGGAGGAUGUGCCGGAUAACGCAGCCC
RNAcentral lists this long non-coding RNA (469 nucleotides) under Linum usitatissimum (flax). Its description in RNAcentral is "long non-coding RNA (LUSI_LNC001980)". The record is from RNAcentral. Lineage: Eukaryota; Viridiplantae; Streptophyta; Magnoliopsida; Malpighiales; Linaceae.